AGGAGUAUAAUUUAAAAACCUAGUUUUUGAGGAGAAUAUUUGGGAAAUGGUGAGUUUCUUUUUACCCUAAAGUAGCAUGUGAAUGUUUUGGUUAAAAUGUCAAAAAAUAAUCACUGCUGUGUUUGUGAUUUAUUGAGAAUUGAAAGCCAUUUUGAGUGUAAAAUUCUUAUAAUCUGAUUCAGUUUAAGAAAACACACAUGGUUGGGGUUGAGAAUAUUUAAAACAUUUGAUAUUGGUAAGAAAUAUUGAUGCUGUUGUUGAUUUCUUAAAUAGGCAUUUAUUUCAGACUUGAUAUUUUGAGAACCAUUUGUGUGAGGGAGGCGCUUUCCUUUUCUUCCCUUUACCUUUUUCUUGUAAUUGGUGAUUAUUGUAAUUCUGAUCAAGUUCUUAAUACUGAAUUGUAAAACAAUUAAUCAAAAUAUUAGUGCCACGAUUCUACCUGUUAUGAAACUACUUAGUCAUAGUCAAUUCUCACUGAUACUUUAUAUAAAGAGAAAAUUCAAGUAUUAGAGACGAUACUGGCUUCCUUAAGAGGAUGUGAAAGAUUUUUCAUAGUGAAUCAUGACCCUAAGAGAGAUGUAUGUGGCAAAAGUAUAGUAUAUAAUAAAUAGAUCCGCUGGUUUUUUAUAAGGCAAACAAUUGUAAGUUGACUGAUGUUCCUGUGUUAGAGAAUGUAGUGUUGAGCUUGGCAAAGAAUAAGUCAUUCGUGGAAUCCUUGUGUUUGACUGUUGCUUAUCUCAGUGUCGCUGUGUUAGUGCUCUUGGAUAGCUUGUAUAUGUGAUAGUUUGAUUAAUAAGAAAAAAAUAUAAAAUUUGAAAAUCGAAUAUAGGAUCCAAAAUGGUGAAUGAAAUGACUUAAUACUCAAGUGUUUUGGAGAGUAUUUCUUUUAACCUGUUGGUAGGCUAGUUUGAACGAUGAACCUAUGGACAUGUAGAAUGCAUAUAUGCUUGUAUUUCAUUGUAAUUUCUGAUAUAUAAUGAAUUUCUUGGGAGAGGUACUGAAUCUUUGAUUUUUCUUGUCAUUCUUCUCAAGUGCAAUAUAACAAUGUAACCAAACCUAGAUAUUUCAAAGUCAUUAUUAAUUUAGUAAACCUAAUCUAAAUGGAGAUUUAUUAGUAUUUUUUGUUAGCAGGAAGGAAUGAUUUUGAGAUGGAUACACGAAUGAAGUUAUUUACCCCUAAAAGGUCCAUUUUACACUUUAUUUCAGGCUGGACAUGAACUAUUCCCUGCUAGUUUUGAAACACUUUGCAAUAUCUUAAAGUAACUUGGAAGCUGUGUAUAUCAAUUAAUUUCCUACCUAAGUAACAUAGAAAAUAAUUUUCUUUAUUUAGCUCUCUUGUGAUCACCCACAUUGGGUGAGACAUAAAAUGAGUGUCUUCUAAAAUUUGUCAUUUACUAACUUGAUCUGAGUUAGUGAAAACUGGUACAGUGUUCUGCUUAUUAGUCUCCAGUGUGUAACUUGUGUCUGUUCAAUAAACUUGAGCAUAUGGUGCCA
This 1494-nucleotide long non-coding RNA is filed under the name Balaenoptera musculus (blue whale). Its description in RNAcentral is "lncRNA (ENSBMSG00010007823.1)". Lineage: Eukaryota; Metazoa; Chordata; Mammalia; Artiodactyla; Balaenopteridae. The record is from RNAcentral.